This 497-nucleotide ribosomal RNA is filed under the name uncultured bacterium. RNAcentral's name for it is "partial 16S ribosomal RNA". It matches the Rfam family "Bacterial small subunit ribosomal RNA", at positions 28 to 507 of the family's 1533-position model. The record is from RNAcentral.
GAUGAACGCUGGCGGCGUGCCUAAUACAUGCCAGUCGAGCGAACAGACGAGGAGCUUGCUCCUCUGACGUUAGCGGCGGACGGGUGAGUAACACGUGGAUAACCUACCUAUAAGACUGGGAUAACUUCGGGAAACCGGAGCUAAUACCGGAUAAUAUAUUGAACCGCAUGGUUCAAUAGUGAAAGACGGUUUUGCUGUCACUUAUAGAUGGAUCCGCGCCGCAUUAGCUAGUUGGUAAGGUAACGGCUUACCAAGGCAACGAUGCGUAGCCGACCUGAGAGGGUGAUCGGCCACACUGGAACUGAGACACGGUCCAGACUCCUACGGGAGGCAGCAGUAGGGAAUCUUCCGCAAUGGGCGAAAGCUUGACGGAGCAACGCCGCGUGAGUGAUGAAGGUCUUCGGAUCGUAAAACUCGGUUAUUAGGGAAGAACAAAUGUGUAAGUAACUAUGCACGUCUUGACGGUACCUAAUCAGAAAGCCACGGCUAACUACGUG